This 203-nucleotide long non-coding RNA is filed under the name Elaeis guineensis (African oil palm). RNAcentral describes it as "long non-coding RNA (EGUI_LNC036850)". Lineage: Eukaryota; Viridiplantae; Streptophyta; Magnoliopsida; Arecales; Arecaceae. The record is from RNAcentral.
AGUGAUUUUAUAGAUAAUAUGAUACUUUGCACAGAACUCUUUGAAUUUGAUGUUGUUGAAUUAUCGGCCAUUAUCGAUGAUGAUUGCCUAGGAUAGAUCGAAUCGACAGAUGAUGGAUUUUCACAAAAAGCUGGUAGUCUUCUGUUCUGUUAUGUAUGCCAAUGAAUCGGCUUCGAUCUACUUAGUAAAGUAGUCGAUGGCCA